This 986-nucleotide ribosomal RNA is filed under the name human gut metagenome. RNAcentral describes it as "bacterial LSU rRNA". It matches the Rfam family "Bacterial large subunit ribosomal RNA", at positions 1934 to 2925 of the family's 2925-position model. The record is from RNAcentral.
CCGUAACUAUAACGGUCCUAAGGUAGCGAAAUUCCUUGUCGGGCAAGUUCCGACCCGCACGAAAGGCGUAACGAUUUGGGCGCUGUCUCAGCUGUAGACUCGGUGAAGUCUUAGUACCUGUGAAGAUGCAGGUUGCCCGCGACUAGACGGAAAGACCCCAUGGAGCUUCACUGCAGGUUGACAUUGGGCUUGGAUGCAUGAUGUACAGGAUAGGUGGGAGGCUGUGAGCCGUGCGCGCCAGCGUACGGGGAGCCGCUGUUGGGAUACCACCCUUCAUGCAUCUAGGUCCUAACCGGAGGCAACGGGCCACGGGACAGUGUCAGUCGGGCAGUUUGACUGGGGCGGUCGCCUCCCAAAGAGUAACGGAGGCGCCCAAAGAUACCCUCAGCAUGGAUGGAAACCAUGCAUAGAGUGCAAAGGCAUAAGGGUGUCUGACUGCGAGACAUACAGGUCGAGCAGGGACGAAAGUCGGGCUUAGUGAUCCGGCGGAUCCGAAUGGAAGGGCCGUCGCUCAACGGAUAAAAGCUACCCUGGGGAUAACAGGCUGAUCUCCCCCAAGAGUUCACAUCGACGGGGAGGUUUGGCACCUCGAUGUCGGCUCAUCGCAUCCUGGAGCUGAAGUCGGUUCCAAGGGUUGGGCUGUUCGCCCAUUAAAGCGGUACGCGAGCUGGGUUCAGAACGUCGUGAGACAGUUCGGUCCCUAUCUGUUGUGGGCGAAGGAGAUCUGCGGAGAGCUGUCCUCAGUACGAGAGGACCGGGAUGGACCUACCGCUGGUGCACCGGUUGUUCCGCCAGGGGCAUAGCCGGGUAGCUAAGUAGGGAAAGGAUAAGCGCUGAAAGCAUCUAAGCACGAAGCCUACUCCAAGAUGAGAUCUCCCAUUCGCAAGAAGUAAGACCCCUUAAAGACGAUAAGGUAGAUAGGCCAGGGAUGGAAGUGCAGUGAUGUACGGAGUUGACUGGUACUAAUCGGUCGAGGACUUAAUCAG